AGAACAGGAAGGCAGAAGGAGUCACUGCCAGCUACCGCCAUGAACAGCAGCAUGUGAAGAUGCCGGAGUGGAGUCCUGUGAGGAGAAGUCUGAGUGCUUGUGAGAACACUCCAAGAGAACAAGACAAGAGUCUUGUGGCCUCAGUUUCUUCAAAACAUGGAACUUUUCUUGGAAUGUGUUUUCCUGCUUCUCCCAGGUGUAGUGGAUAAGAGUUCUGGGCUCAGCAAAUGUAACAGAUGUGUGGAACACCCCUCCCCCACGCUAGUAAAAGCUGCUGAAGUUACAGCGUGUCCGUUAUCCGGCUGGCCACCUCUGCUCUCCGGAUAGUGACCCUCAGAAGGUCAAGGACUGGGCUGUGAGACGCUCCAAGGAAUCAGACCCAAAUCCAUAAUUUUGAGAAGACAAGUCUCUUAUUUUUUGUCAAGAAAGAGACCAUUCAAAUGUCGUUAACAGCACAGGCUUUUCACAAUCUAAUUCAUGCAAAGAGUUUGAGUGGUUUUUGUUGUUAACUGAACUAAGUAAACGAUUGCACAUGUACAUGCCAAGAAGAAAUAGGAAGCAUCUGUGUAUCAAUAUGGACCAACCUCUGGGAUAUAUUAAACAAAAGAGCCAACUAUAGAACACUGUGUGUGCGCACACAGGGAAGAAAACUGCGUGUUGUGCAAUAUUUUAAAAUUAGAGACCAGAAAUAUGAAUUAUAAAAUAAAAAAAAAAGAUUACCUGUAAGAGAAGAAAAAAAGGGUAAUGAGGUAAGAACAAACGUUUAGACUCUUUGUAAAUGGAUUUGGUAGAUUGGACUUUGGAAUCAUGUAAAUGUUUCAUGUAAUCAUCAAAAACUUACUUUAAAAAUAUUAAGGGGUUUCAGAGACAACUGAGCUGUUAAGAUCAAAGUACUGUUUUCCAGAGGCCCCAAGUUCUGUUCGAAACACCUGAUCUCCACACCUGUUCUCUCUCUCUCUCUCUCUCUCUCUCUCUCUCUCUCUCUCUCUCUUUCUCUCUCUC
Non-coding RNA from Peromyscus maniculatus bairdii (prairie deer mouse), 1002 nucleotides. Lineage: Eukaryota; Metazoa; Chordata; Mammalia; Rodentia; Cricetidae. The record is from RefSeq and is a predicted model, not a curated record.